UGGGGAAUCUUGCGCAAUGGGCGAAAGCCUGACGCAGCGACGCCGCGUGAGUGAUGAAGGCCUUCGGGUUGUAAAGCUCUGUGGGGAGAGAAGAAUAAGUGCGGGCUAAUACUCCGCAUGAUGACGGUAUCUCCUUAGCAAGCACCGGCUAACUCUGUGCCAGCAGCCGCGGUAAGACAGAGGGUGCAAACGUUGUUCGGAAUUACUGGGCGUAAAGCGAGUGUAGGCGGUUUGGUAAGUCGGAUGUGAAAGCCCCGGGCUCAACCCGGGAAGUGCACUCGAUACUGCCAAGCUAGAGUAUCGGAGAGGUUGGUGGAAUUCUCGGUGUAGAGGUGAAAUUCGUAGAUAUCGAGAGGAACACCGGUGGCGAAGGCGGCCAACUGGACGAAUACUGACGCUGAGACUCGAAAGCGUGGGGAGCAAACAGGAUUAGAUACCCCCGUAGUCC
This 448-nucleotide ribosomal RNA is filed under the name uncultured bacterium. Its description in RNAcentral is "bacterial SSU rRNA". It matches the Rfam family "Bacterial small subunit ribosomal RNA", at positions 355 to 796 of the family's 1533-position model. The record is from RNAcentral.